GUUUGAUCCUGGCUCAGAUUGAACGCUGGCGGCAUGCCUUACACAUGCAAGUCGAACGGCAGCACGGGAGCAAUCCUGGUGGCGAGUGGCGAACGGGUGAGUAAAGUAUCGGAACGUACCUUUCAGUGGGGGAUAACGUAGCGAAAGUUACGCUAAUACCGCAUAUUCUGUGAGCAGGAAAGCAGGGGAUCGCAAGACCUUGCGCUGAUGGAGCGGCCGAUAUCAGAUUAGCUAGUUGGUGAGGUAAAGGCUCACCAAGGCGACGAUCUGUAGCGGGUCUGAGAGGAUGAUCCGCCACACUGGGACUGAGACACGGCCCAGACUCCUACGGGAGGCAGCAGUGGGGAAUUUUGGACAAUGGGGGCAACCCUGAUCCAGCCAUGCCGCGUGAGUGAAGAAGGCCUCGGUGU
RNAcentral lists this ribosomal RNA (410 nucleotides) under uncultured bacterium. RNAcentral describes it as "bacterial SSU rRNA". It matches the Rfam family "Bacterial small subunit ribosomal RNA", at positions 11 to 423 of the family's 1533-position model. The record is from RNAcentral.